This is a small nucleolar RNA of Danio aesculapii, 140 nucleotides long. RefSeq annotates it as small nucleolar RNA SNORA29. The record is from RefSeq and is a predicted model, not a curated record. The transcript has a single exon. Lineage: Eukaryota; Metazoa; Chordata; Actinopteri; Cypriniformes; Danionidae.
CUUCCUGUUUUAGCACCACCCACUUGCUUCCUCACAAGGUGUGUGGCUAUGCCAACAGGAUAAAAAAUGUCUGUCAUAAUCUGAAGUGGUGGAUGGUCACACUUCCUCCACCUCUAUAUGAAUUGACAGUACACUUAUAU